Molecule: long non-coding RNA, 390 nt
Organism: Sceloporus undulatus (fence lizard)
Lineage: Eukaryota; Metazoa; Chordata; Lepidosauria; Squamata; Phrynosomatidae
Exons: 3
Source: RefSeq, a predicted model, not a curated record
GGCAGAGAAGCACAGCCGUGGCCAAUAGAUCCCAGCUCUUCUCUUUCUUUUCACAGACUGAGACCAACUUCUGUGACCCUGGAUCAGGUGAGCUUUGAGGAGGUGGCUGUGUAUUUCAGUGAGGAGGAGUGGUGCUUUCUGGAUCCAGACCAAAGGGCCUUGCAUACGGAAGUCAUGGAGGAGAAUUUGGAGACGGUGGCUUCCUUGGGAGGUGACAUAAAUGGGAAUGCAGACGGAAGUGAAUGUCUUUGUCUUGUUUGUGGGAGAAGCUUCAGUUGUAAGUCAAACCUUAAUCUUCACAGGAGAACUCACAUAGGAGAACAAUCUUAUAAAGAUGGAGAGAGUAGUUAUAGGGAAAAACUGAUUUCCCAUGAACCCUCUCAAAUAACA